Molecule: transfer RNA, 90 nt
Filed under: Suttonella ornithocola
Lineage: Bacteria; Pseudomonadati; Pseudomonadota; Gammaproteobacteria; Cardiobacteriales; Cardiobacteriaceae
Description: tRNA-Arg(tct)
Source: RNAcentral
CGUUGUAAUGGGCUUCCGUUGGCUCAAAGCGCAAUUUUUCUAAAAUUGCAGGGAGGGGAAACCCUCCUUUUGAUUAGGAUUUACUAUGAC